RNAcentral lists this ribosomal RNA (1119 nucleotides) under Triticum aestivum (bread wheat). Its description in RNAcentral is "partial small subunit ribosomal RNA". Lineage: Eukaryota; Viridiplantae; Streptophyta; Magnoliopsida; Poales; Poaceae. The record is from RNAcentral.
AUGGAGGGGCUCGACGUCGACGACGUCUUCCACCACUACCGGCUGAGCCCUACGGAAGUGGACGCCGUCACCUACUACCUACCACGCCUCCUCUCCGGCGAGACGCUGCACGGCGUCGACAAGCUCAUCCACCGCGCCAACAUCUCCGGCUGCGAGCCCAAGGAUCUGGCCGCCCGGUACGCGCCCGUGCCGCAGGCCGUGAGCAGCGGCGACCGGUUCUUCUUCACCACGUGCAAGAGCAAGAACGGGAGCAAGCACCAGAGCUUGCGCGGCGCCGGCACCGGCACCUGGACCAUCCAGAAGACCACGGAGAUUUGCCACGCGGGAGUCAAGGUCGGCGAGGUCAAGAACCUGUCCUUCAAGAAGAAGGGCAAGUCCACGGGCUGGGUCAUGGAGGAGUACCGGUGCCUGCUGCCGGAGGCCACCGUCAGCGACGGGGUGAAGGUCUUCUGCAAGAUGCACUUGGCUCAGCAUGCCCCUGACGCGGCCCGACAGGAAUCGGAGGCGUACAAGCUUCAACAACCGCAACCGGAGGCCGUGACCCAGAGCACGCACGCGCAGAAGAGGCCAGCGACCGCUGCCGCCGCCGAGCCUCAUCCGGCGAGCCCCAAGAAGAGGAUGCGCGGUGCCGUCCCGGUCCCGGCACCUGCCACAUCGUCGUUCACCGCUGCAGCACCGGUUUUCUUGCCGGAUGAAUACGUACGUGAAGCUGACGACGACAUGGCCCGGUUCUGUUGCACAAUCGAUGAGCUUCUCGGGUCACAAGCGGAGGAAAAUCUCCCGGUCGGAGCUACUAACAGCAUCGAACAGAAUUUCUACUUGGAACCAGAGGGGCUUUUCGCUGAUGCUGCAGAAGAAAUCGUCCCGCUCGAAGCUGACGAGCUGGAGUUCCUUAGGACCUUCCUCGAUGAAGAAGCAGAAGAGUCGACGAACGACAAGUCAUCCAUUGCCCAAGACGUGGGGACUUACAAGCCGCCGCCGCCGAUCAUCUUCCAUGAUCCAUUUGAAGCAGCGUGGAAGGCCGAAGAGGCGCUGGAGAAGGAGAAGAGGUGCAAUGCCGCGGCCAAUCUUCACGCUGGAGGGCACAGCAACUUCUUCUCGCCUGCAAGUGUCUACUAA